RNAcentral lists this ribosomal RNA (495 nucleotides) under uncultured bacterium. Its description in RNAcentral is "partial 16S ribosomal RNA". It matches the Rfam family "Bacterial small subunit ribosomal RNA", at positions 30 to 507 of the family's 1533-position model. The record is from RNAcentral.
UGAACGCUGGCGGCGUGCCUAAUACAUGCAAGUCGAGCGAACAGACGAGGAGCUUGCUCCUCUGAUGUUAGCGGCGGACGGGUGAGUAACACGUGGAUAACCUACCUAUAAGACUGGGAUAACUUCGGGAAACCGGAGCUAAUACCGGAUAACAUGUUGAACCGCAUGGUUCACCAGUGAAAGACGGUCUUGCUGUCACUUAUAGAUGGAUCCGCGCCGCAUUAGCUAGUUGGUAAGGUAACGGCUUACCAAGGCAACGAUGCGUAGCCGACCUGAGAGGGUGAUCGGCCACACUGGAACUGAGACACGGUCCAGACUCCUACGGGAGGCAGCAGUAGGGAAUCUUCCGCAAUGGGCGAAAGCCUGACGGAGCAACGCCGCGUGAGUGAAGAAGGUCUUCGGAUCGUAAAACUCUGUUAUUAGGGAAGAACAAAUGUGUAAGUAACUAUGCACGUCUUGACGGUACCUAAUCAGAAAGCCACGGCUAACUACGUG